RNAcentral lists this ribosomal RNA (3105 nucleotides) under Carnegiea gigantea. RNAcentral's name for it is "eukaryotic LSU rRNA". It matches the Rfam family "Eukaryotic large subunit ribosomal RNA". The record is from RNAcentral. Lineage: Eukaryota; Viridiplantae; Streptophyta; Magnoliopsida; Caryophyllales; Cactaceae.
ACCCCUGGCCAGGCUAGGAUACUAGCUGAGUUUAAGCAUAUCAAUAAGUAGAGGAAAAGAAACUUACAAGGAUUCCCCUAAUACCAGCGAGCGACCCGAGAAGAGCCCAGCUUUAAAAUCGGGUGGCCUUGCCGUCCAAAUUGGAGUAUGAAGAAGUGUCCUCUGCAGUAAACCGGGCCCAAGCCCCUAGAAAGGGGCGCCAGAGAGGGUGAGAACCCUGUCGUGCCCAGACCCUGUCGCACCAUGGGGCGCUGUCGCCGAGUCGGGUUGUUUAGGAAUGCAGCCCCAAGCAUGUGGUAAAUUCCGUCUAAGGCUAAAUAGGGCAAGAGACCAAUAGCGAGUAAGUACCGUGAGGGAAAGAUGAAAAGGACUUUGAAAAGAGAGCCAAAGAGUGCUGGAAAUUGUCGAAAGGGAAGUGGAUGGUCAUCGGCGAUACGCCCCAGUCAGAUUUGGAACGGCCAUAAGCCGGUCUGUCGAUUGACUCGGGGCACAGAGCGACACGGAUUGGGAAGGCGGCUAGCCCUGGCACCUGCGCGCUCUCGGCCUCAGCUGGCGGGCCCCCCAUUUGUCCCUUCUUGAAACAUGUACCAAGGCAUCUGACAUGUGUGCGAGUCAACAGGCUAUAAACCCGUGCGACACAAGGAAGCUAAUUUACAGGAUCCCCUCAUGGGUGCACCGCCGACCAACCUUGAUCUUCUAAAAAGGUUCAACUGUGAGCAUACCUGUUGGGGUACGAAAGAUAGUGAACUAUGCCUGAGUAGGGCGAAGCUAGAGGAAACUCUGGUGGAGGCCCAAAGCGAUUCUGAUGUACAAAUCAUUCAUCUCACUUGGGUACAGGGCGAAUCAAACUAUCUAGUAGUUAGUUCCCUCUGAAGUUUCCCUCAGGAUAGCUGGAGCUCAUACGCGAGUUCUAUUAAGUAAAGCAAUGAUUAGAGGCAUUCGGAGUGCAAUGCCCUCAUCUUAUUCUCAAACUCUCAAUAGGUAGGACGACAUGGCUGCUUUGUUAAGAUGCACUACGGAAUCGAGAGCUCGAAGUAGGCUAUUUUUGGUAAGCAGAACAGGCGAUACAAGAUAAACCAAAAGUUGGGUUACGAUGCCUAAUUGUGCGCUAACCUAGAUCCCACAAAGGGUGUUGGUUAACUGAGACAGCAGUACGAUGGUCAUGGAGGACGAAAUCCAUUAAGGAGUGUGUAACAACUUACCUGCCGAAUCAACCAGCCCUGAAAAUGGAUGGCGCUGAAGCGCGUGACCUAUACCCAGUAGUAUGGGUAAGUGCCAGGCCCCGAUGAGUAGAAGGGUGCAGCGGUCCUUGCAAAACCUAUGGCGCGAGCCAGGGAGGAGCAACCGUCGAUGCAGAUCUUGGUGGUAGUAGCAAAUAUUCAAAUGAGAACUUUGAAGGCCAAAGAGGGGAAAGGUUCCAUGUGAGAGACACUUGCACAUGGGUUAGUCGAUCCUAAAAGACGGGGGAAGUUCAUCCGACAGCACCUUUCGCGUGAUCUUCGGAAGGGAAUCAGGUUUAAAUUUCAAACCAGGACGCGGCGGUUGACGGUAACAUUAGGGAGUCCGGAUACUCGGCGGGGGCCUCGAGAAGAGUUAUCUUUUCUGUUUAACAGCCUGCCCACCCUGGAAACGACUCAAUCGGAGGUUGGGUCUAGCGGCUAGAAGAGCACUGCACGUCACAUAGUGUCUGGUGCGCUCUCAGCAGCCCUUAAAAAUCCGGAGGACUGAGUGCUGACCACGCUUAGUUGUACUCAUAGCCGCAUCAGGUCUCCAAGGUGACCAACCUCUUCCCAAUGGAACCAUGUAGGUAAAGGAAGUCAGCAAAAUGGAUCGCGAACCCAUCUGCUGUCAACAGACUACUCGAGCUACUCCCACAGUGAGAGCAGGUUGUUGCGUGGUAGCCGGGGGAUAUAUUGGGAACGACCCCUUCAAGGACCUUCCCUGGACGUCAAACAGUCAACUCAAAAUUCGUACGGACAAUGAAAAUCCGGCUGUUUAAUUAAAACAAAGUAUUUCGAUGGUCUCAGUGGAUGUUAACACAAUGUGAUUUCUACCUAGUGCUCUGAAUGUCAAGGUAAAGAAAUUCAACCAAGCGCAGGUAAAGGGCGGGAGUAGCUAUGACUCUCUUAAGGUAGUCAAAUGUCUCGUCAUCUAAUUAAUGACGCGCAUGAAUGGAUUAACGAGAUUCCCACUGUCCCUGUGCACUAUCUAGUGAAACCACAACCAAGGGAACGGGCUUGGCAGAAUCAACGUGGAAAGAAGCCCUGUUGAGCUUGACUCUAAUCUGACUUUGUGAAAUGACUUGAGAGGUGUAGCAUAAGUGGGAGCUUCGGCGCAAGUGAAAUACCACUACUUUUAACAUUAUUUUACUUACUCUAUGAGUUAGAGGUGGGGCAUCGACCCUCAUUCAAACCUAAGGCUCGCUUGCAGGCCAAUCUGGGAGGAGGGCAUCGUCAAGUGGGGAGAUUGGCUAGGGUUACACAUCUAUUAAAAGAUAAUGUAAGUGUCUAAGAUCAGAUUAACGAGAAUAGAAAUCUCGUGUGAAAUAGAAGGGUAAAAGCUCGUUUCAUUCUGAUUUUCAGUAUGAAUAUGAACCGUGAAAAUGUGGCCUAACGAUCCUUUCAACCUUCAGAAUUUAAAGGUAGAAGUGUCAGAAAAGUUACCACAGGGAUAACUGGAUUGUGGCAGCCAAGCGUUCAUAGCAACGUUACUGUUGAUCCUUCGAUGUCGGCUCUUCCUAUCAUUACGAAGCAGAAUUCACCAAGUGUUGGAUUGUUCACCCACUAAUAGGGAACGUGAGCUGGGCUUAGACCGUUAUGAGACAGGUUAGUUUUACCCUACUGAUGACAGUGUUGCGAUGGUAAUUCAACCUACUACGAGAGGAACCAUUGAUUCGCACAAUUGGUCAUCGUGCUUGGUUAAAAAGCCAAUGGCGUGAAGCUACCCUGCGGUGGAUUAUAACUGAACGCCUCUAAGUCAGAAUCCGGGCCAGAAGCGACGUAUGCACCCGCCGCCCGAUUGCCGACCUGCAGUAGGGGCCUCGGCUCCCAAGGGCAUGCGUCGAAGGCUAAGCCAGCGCGGUGGAUGCGCCUUGAUGGCCGCCUU